Long non-coding RNA from Actinia tenebrosa (Australian red waratah sea anemone), 168 nucleotides. NCBI's taxonomy places the organism in Eukaryota, Metazoa, Cnidaria, Anthozoa, Actiniaria, Actiniidae. The record is from RefSeq and is a predicted model, not a curated record.
GCGACGUYCUACACGUCCCGUUCAGGACGGCGUUUGCAGUCAUUUGACGUCGCGAAGAAAACGUGUAAACCCAUUGUAAUUGGUAAAAACGAAGAAAUAGGAUGGAAGCUGAAUCAAAGAAAAAGUCAGUAAUGACUUGGGGUGAAACUAAAGACUUGAUGAUGUUGA